This 322-nucleotide long non-coding RNA is filed under the name Nicotiana benthamiana. RNAcentral's name for it is "long non-coding RNA (NBEN_LNC023312)". The record is from RNAcentral. Lineage: Eukaryota; Viridiplantae; Streptophyta; Magnoliopsida; Solanales; Solanaceae.
CGCAACAAGCAUGACUUCUUCAGACUACAAAUGGGCGUAUGUGAUUUUGAAGAAAGGGGGAGGUUUGACUAAUUCUUCAAAAUAGUUUCAGUUGCACAUGAUUUAGUCGUGGCUUUUCUUAGCAGUAGUGGACUUAUGUUUUACUUGUUUUUUGUUCUCUUGUUAGUUUUACAGCAUUAUCAAUUAGUAGUGGACCAUGUUUCCCACUUCUCCUCAUGUUCUCCAUUAUCUAUUAGUUGCUAUUUUUUAGGCUUAGCAGUUAAAUUGUAAGCCUAUAAAAGGCAGUAGGUGUUUGUUUUCAAGCAGAGAGAAUUUAGCAGUA